AGUAGGGAAGUGUCGCCGGCAUCAGUCGCCCCCGCCGACGGCGCUUUCCGGGGGGCGGGCCCUUUGCUCGCUCCCACAGGUCCUUUCGAUGGAACAUGCCCCCCUCUGUCGGAAGGUCUAAGGGCGGUGAGGUCCCCCAGCCUCGCCGCCCGCUUUU
Molecule: small RNA, 157 nt
Filed under: Bradyrhizobium ivorense
Lineage: Bacteria; Pseudomonadati; Pseudomonadota; Alphaproteobacteria; Hyphomicrobiales; Nitrobacteraceae
Description: Bradyrhizobiaceae sRNA BjrC80
Rfam family: Bradyrhizobiaceae sRNA BjrC80
Source: Rfam by way of RNAcentral